This is a non-coding RNA of Macaca mulatta (Rhesus monkey), 2451 nucleotides long. The record is from RefSeq and is a predicted model, not a curated record. NCBI's taxonomy places the organism in Eukaryota, Metazoa, Chordata, Mammalia, Primates, Cercopithecidae.
UCUUCUUCUUCAGAGGGUUUUUUUUUUUUAAUUAUGUUUACGUUUUCAGUAAGUUUGUCUUUUAGACUUUUUGGAGGUGGAGUCCAGUCAUCUUAAACUAAUCAUGUUUUAAAAAAAUCUAAGUGUCUCUGCUUUUCCACAAUUCCCCAUUGCCCUUUUUGAAAACUAUAUUUUUGAUUGUGAUAACAAAAAAAUGUAACAUAAAAUUUGCCAUCUUACCAUUUUUAAGCACAUAGUUGAGUAGCAUUAAGCAUUUCUGUGACAUUGUUGUGCAACAGAUCCCCAGAACUUGUGCAUCUUGCAAAACUGAAACUCUGCCCUCAUUAAACAACCCCUCCCCAUCCCUUCAGCCCAUGGUAGCCACCACUCUGCUCCUGUCUUCAUGAAUUGGACUGCUCUAGGAACCCCAUGUCUUACUUCCUGGAAAUGAAACAUGUUGCCUAGAGGUGGAGCACCCAUUCAGUGAGCCUGUGAGGAAGGCCAUUUACCAAGAACAGGAGAAAGCUAGAAGGAGCCCAUAUCUCUGACUGCCCUCGCCAGCCCACACAAGAACUCACGCUGGAAAAAGAAAGCCCUGUUUCGGCCUGCUUUUCCUGGAACCAGGAGGACUCCCACCCAGGUCCACUCAAGUUGUGACACUGCUUGGCUUACUGAUCCAGAUAAGUGAGGCCAUAGGAGAGCAGACGCUGGAUAAUGGAGGCCGAGCGAGGCAUUUCCAGACUGUCAGGAAAAUGGAGACGCUGUCGCUUCCAGGAAAUACAGGCACAUAAGGCAAUGUACAGCUGGAACAUCUGGCCUUAUAAAACUAAAAAUAACACCCCAUAAAAUACAUUUUAUUCAUUUAUUUUGACAACGGGAACACACUUUCCAUUACUCAUGACUCUGUAAGUCUCCCUGGUGCAACAGUCCUGCCAUUACAUGCUGUGGGAUCAACACCGCCUUGGUCACAUAGAUUUGCCACUCUCCCGUCCUCCUGGUUUCCCAAAGGUCAGGAACUCUGACUCUGCUCACGGUACAGCUUCGGCUUAAAAGGCCCUUCCCCCUCCUUUGUUCAUUGCAAUCCCCUUUCUUCUUUGAGACUCCCUCCCUGAGGCGACUCUCAGGCUACUUCAUCUGCUCUUAAGCAGGAAGUUGCCGCCAUCUUGUUUGCCACUUUCUAACCUUUUUCCUUGAUCAUUUAUUCGGUUGAGUCAAGGCCCCAUAUUCACAGAAAACAUUCGCACUGGGUGUUUGUCUCCCGCUUUGCUCCAAGACUCACCCUUAUUCUGGAUGAUUUGGAUGUCCCUUGUCCUUGACCAGAUGGCCAUUGUUCUUUAAGCUUCUCAACCGAUUGGCACAUUCUUUCACUUUACUUAGGGCAUUUGUUAUCAAGGCCCCUAUUUUGGACAUGUCCCUGUAAUUUAUCUACUUCUAAAAUCUUAAAUUCCUCUCCCCUGGGAGCUCUCUGACAACAAUCUCCCAUCAUCCCAGCUCUUUCUUUCUCUGAUCCCUUUCCUUCUGUUCAAGACUCAGAAAAAAUCUCCAAGAAGUUGUUCCUUUGGUCAUCUUGCAAUAGAUCUGCUCCCCUCUCUCUCACCUUCACUAUUCUGAUAAUAUUCAGCCCAGAUCUGGGCUGCCACAACAUUCAUAUUCUCAUGCAGAUCCUCAAGUCAUUAUCUUCCUUGUCUUUGUCCUUCUAUUUCUCCCUUCCCGGAAAGCCCAGUGACAGUUCUUCCUGCUCUACAUAGCAUUGUGAAGCUUUCAGUUUCAACCCGUAUUUCAGAGCUGCCUGGCCAUCCCUCUGUGUGGUCCUUGGUAGCCUUUUCUCAUAUUCUGCGGAAAUCUAGGACAGCUUUCUCAAACUUACUUUUUCCCAAACUCUGAUUUCAUCUCCUUUUGCCCCUCCAGUUUGGAAAGGCCAUGCUGAUAUUAACAAAAAGGGGCCCUCGGAGCCUCAGAACGCUCUCAACUUUCUUCCUGCUUCUACACAUACCUGCAUGAACACACAACCUUGCCUCCUUGCUUCCUUCUCUCCAGUCAUGAAAUAAUAGGUUGACUCCUGAAGGAAUUACCCUCCACACCUGUUCUGGAUCUCAUUCCUUUCCUCUCUCUAGGGAUCUGUACUCAUCAGUCAUACUCACUCCAUUCUCAGUCCACAAUCAUAACUACUGAGUCUUUUUAUUCAGUAUUUGAAUAUUCUCAAGACUCUUCUAUCUUUAAAAUAGUCUGAAUUCUUACUUCACCUGUCAAUGGAUAGACUUGGACCUUUAUAUCUUCUUCACAUCUUUAUAUUCCAGUGCUUAACAUUCACACAUUCACCCUUUUUUCUGUUCGUCCACUUAGCCACCUCUCCAUUCAAACGAAUAAGUUUUGAAUAUCUCUACUAUGCCUGGAAACAACUGGAAACUUGUUUAUACAAUAAGGUUCAUCACAGCAUUAUUUAUUAUAAUAAAAUUAAGCAAACUGCCAGAA